AUUGAACGCUGGCGGCAUGCCUUACACAUGCAAGUCGAACGGCAGCACGGGAGCAAUCCUGGUGGCGAGUGGCGAACGGGUGAGUAAUAUAUCGGAACGUGCCCAGUCGUGGGGGAUAACGUAGCGAAAGCUACGCUAAUACCGCAUACGAUCUAUGGAUGAAAGCGGGGGACCGUAAGGCCUCGCGCGAUUGGAGCGGCCGAUGUCGGAUUAGCUAGUUGGUAGGUAAAGGCCUACCAAGGCGACGAUCCGUAGCGGGUCUGAGAGGAUGAUCCGCCACACUGGGACUGAGACACGGCCCAGACUCCUACGGGAGGCAGCAGUGGGGAAUUUUGGACAAUGGGCGAAAGCCUGAUCCAGCCAUGCCGCGUGAGUGAAGAAGGCCUCGG
RNAcentral lists this ribosomal RNA (389 nucleotides) under uncultured bacterium. RNAcentral's name for it is "bacterial SSU rRNA". It matches the Rfam family "Bacterial small subunit ribosomal RNA", at positions 29 to 420 of the family's 1533-position model. The record is from RNAcentral.